GGGUUGUGAGGUUAAGCGACUAAGCGUACACGGUGGAUGCCCUGGCAGUCAGAGGCGAUGAAGGACGUGCUAAUCUGCGAUAAGCGUCGGUGAGGUGAUAUGAACCGUUAUAACCGGCGAUUUCCGAAUGGGGAAACCCAGUGUGUUUCGACACACUAUCAUUAACUGAAUCCAUAGGUUAAUGAGGCGAACCGGGGGAACUGAAACAUCUAAGUACCCCGAGGAAAAGAAAUCAACCGAGAUUCCCCCAGUAGCGGCGAGCGAACGGGGAGGAGCCCAGAGCCUGAAUCAGUGUGUGUGUUAGUGGAAGCGUCUGGAAAGGCGCGCGAUACAGGGUGACAGCCCCGUACACAAAAAUGCACAUACUGUGAGCUCGAUGAGUAGGGCGGGACACGUGGUAUCCUGUCUGAAUAUGGGGGGACCAUCCUCCAAGGCUAAAUACUCCUGACUGACCGAUAGUGAACCAGUACCGUGAGGGAAAGGCGAAAAGAACCCCGGCGAGGGGAGUGAAAAAGAACCUGAAACCGUGUACGUACAAGCAGUGGGAGCCUCUUAAUGGGGUGACUGCGUACCUUUUGUAUAAUGGGUCAGCGACUUAUAUUCUGUAGCAAGGUUAACCGAAUAGGGGAGCCGAAGGGAAACCGAGUCUUAACUGGGCGUUAAGUUGCAGGGUAUAGACCCGAAACCCGGUGAUCUAGCCAUGGGCAGGUUGAAGGUUGGGUAACACUAACUGGAGGACCGAACCGACUAAUGUUGAAAAAUUAGCGGAUGACUUGUGGCUGGGGGUGAAAGGCCAAUCAAACCGGGAGAUAGCUGGUUCUCCCCGAAAGCUAUUUAGGUAGCGCCUCGUGAAUUCAUCUCCGGGGGUAGAGCACUGUUUCGGCAAGGGGGUCAUCCCGACUUACCAACCCGAUGCAAACUGCGAAUACCGGAGAAUGUUAUCACGGGAGACACACGGCGGGUGCUAACGUCCGUCGUGAAGAGGGAAACAACCCAGACCGCCAGCUAAGGUCCCAAAGUCAUGGUUAAGUGGGAAACGAUGUGGGAAGGCCCAGACAGCCAGGAUGUUGGCUUAGAAGCAGCCAUCAUUUAAAGAAAGCGUAAUAGCUCACUGGUCGAGUCGGCCUGCGCGGAAGAUGUAACGGGGCUAAACCAUGCACCGAAGCUGCGGCAGCGACACUAUGUGUUGUUGGGUAGGGGAGCGUUCUGUAAGCCUGUGAAGGUGUACUGUGAGGUAUGCUGGAGGUAUCAGAAGUGCGAAUGCUGACAUAAGUAACGAUAAAGCGGGUGAAAAGCCCGCUCGCCGGAAGACCAAGGGUUCCUGUCCAACGUUAAUCGGGGCAGGGUGAGUCGACCCCUAAGGCGAGGCCGAAAGGCGUAGUCGAUGGGAAACAGGUUAAUAUUCCUGUACUUGGUGUUACUGCGAAGGGGGGACGGAGAAGGCUAUGUUGGCCGGGCGACGGUUGUCCCGGUUUAAGCGUGUAGGCUGGUUUUCCAGGCAAAUCCGGAAAAUCAAGGCUGAGGCGUGAUGACGAGGCACUACGGUGCUGAAGCGACAAAUGCCCUGCUUCCAGGAAAAGCCUCUAAGCAUCAGGUAACAUCAAAUCGUACCCCAAACCGACACAGGUGGUCAGGUAGAGAAUACCAAGGCGCUUGAGAGAACUCGGGUGAAGGAACUAGGCAAAAUG
RNAcentral lists this ribosomal RNA (1688 nucleotides) under Escherichia coli. RNAcentral's name for it is "partial 23S ribosomal RNA". It matches the Rfam family "Bacterial large subunit ribosomal RNA", at positions 1 to 1724 of the family's 2925-position model. Lineage: Bacteria; Pseudomonadati; Pseudomonadota; Gammaproteobacteria; Enterobacterales; Enterobacteriaceae. The record is from RNAcentral.